RNAcentral lists this ribosomal RNA (744 nucleotides) under uncultured archaeon. RNAcentral's name for it is "bacterial SSU rRNA". It matches the Rfam family "Archaeal small subunit ribosomal RNA", at positions 64 to 814 of the family's 1478-position model. The record is from RNAcentral.
GUAGUAAUACAAGGCAGACGGCUCAGUAACACGUAGCCAAUCUAACCUAUGGACGGGGAUAACCUCGGGAAACUGAGGAUAAACCCCGAUAGAUCAUUAUGCCUGGAAAGGUUUAUGGUCCAAAUGAUUCGUCGCCGUAGGAUGAGACUGCGGCCUAUCAGCUUGUUGGUGAGGUAAUGGCCCACCAAGGCUAUUACAGGUACGGGCUCUGAGAGGAGAAGCCCGGAGAUGGGUACUGAGACACGGACCCAGGCCCUAUGGGGCGCAGCAGGCGAGAAACCUUUGCAAUGUGCGCAAGCACGACAAGGUUAAUCCGAGUGUUUCCUGCUUAAGGAAUCUUUCGUUAGUCCUAAAAACACUAGUGAAUAAGGGGAGGGCAAGCCUGGUGUCAGCCGCCGCGGUAAUACCAGCUCCCCGAGUGGUGAGGAUGUUUAUUGGGCCUAAAGCGUUCGUAGCCGGUUUGGUAAGUCUCCCGUUAAAUCUACCGACUUAAUCGGUAGGCUGCGGGAAAUACUGCUAGACUAGGAGGCGGGAGAGGUCGGCGGUAGUCCCGGGGUAGGGGUAAAAUCCUAUAAUCCUGGGAGGACCACCAGUGGCGAAGGCGGCCGACCAGAACGCGCUCGACGGUGAGGGACGAAAGCUGGGGGAGCGAACCGGAUUAGAUACCCGGGUAGUCCCAGCCGUAAACGAUGCGGGCUAGGUGUUGGUACGGCUACGUGCCGUUCCAGUGCCGCAGGGAAGCUG